GCUGGGCACAGUGGCAUACGCCUGUAAUCCCAGCUGCUCAGGAGGCUGAGGCAGGAGGAUGGUGAGUUAAAGCCUGCCUCAA
Molecule: small RNA, 82 nt
Filed under: Marmota monax (woodchuck)
Lineage: Eukaryota; Metazoa; Chordata; Mammalia; Rodentia; Sciuridae
Source: RNAcentral